CCUACGGGGGGCAGCAGUGGGGAAUAUUGGACAAUGGGGGCAACCCUGAUCCAGCCAUGCCGCGUGUGUGAAGAAGGCCCUCGGGGUGUAAAGCACUUUCAGUGAGGAAGAACGCCUGGUGGUUAAUACCCAUCAGGAAAGACAUCACUCACAGAAGAAGCACCGGCUAACUCCGUGCCAGCAGCCGCGGUAAUACGGAGGGUGCGAGCGUUAAUCGGAAUUACUGGGCGUAAAGCGCGCGUAGGUGGCUUGAUAAGCCGGUUGUGAAAGCCCCGGGCUCAACCUGGGAACGGCAUCCGGAACUGUCAAGCUAGAGUGCAGAAGAGGAAGGUAGAAUUCCCGGUGUAGCGGUGAAAUGCGUAGAGAUCGGGAGGAAUACCAGUGGCGAAGGCGGCCUUCUGGACUGACACUGACGCUGAGGUGCGAAAGCGUGGGUAGCAAACAGGAUUAGAUACCCCAGUAGUC
RNAcentral lists this ribosomal RNA (465 nucleotides) under Vreelandella stevensii. Its description in RNAcentral is "partial 16S ribosomal RNA". It matches the Rfam family "Bacterial small subunit ribosomal RNA", at positions 338 to 795 of the family's 1533-position model. The record is from RNAcentral. Lineage: Bacteria; Pseudomonadati; Pseudomonadota; Gammaproteobacteria; Oceanospirillales; Halomonadaceae.